This 622-nucleotide ribosomal RNA is filed under the name uncultured Alteromonadaceae bacterium. RNAcentral's name for it is "bacterial SSU rRNA". It matches the Rfam family "Bacterial small subunit ribosomal RNA", at positions 72 to 690 of the family's 1533-position model. The record is from RNAcentral. Lineage: Bacteria; Pseudomonadati; Pseudomonadota; Gammaproteobacteria; Alteromonadales; Alteromonadaceae.
GGAUGUGCUUGCACAUCGCUGACGAGUGGCGGACGGCCGACAAAAGAAAUGGGAACUUGCCUUUGCGAGGGGGAUAACAGUUGCUUACGACUGCUAAUACCGCAUAAUGUCUUCGGACCAAACGGGGCUUCGGCUCCGGCGCAAAGAGAGGCCCAAGUGAGAUUAGCUAGUUGGUGAGGUAAAGGCUCACCAAGGCGACGAUCUCUAGCUGUUCUGAGAGGAAGAUCAGCCACACUGGGACUGAGACACGGCCCAGACUCCUACGGGAGGCAGCAGUGGGGAAUAUUGCACAAUGGGGGAAACCCUGAUGCAGCCAUGCCGCGUGUGUGAAGAAGGCCUUCGGGUUGUAAAGCACUUUCAGUUGUGAGGAAAAGUUAGUAGUUAAUACCUGCUAGCCGUGACGUUAACAACAUAAUAAGCACCGGCUAACUCCGUGCCAGCAGCCGCGGUAAUACGGAGGGUGCGAGCGUUAAUCGGAAUUACUGGGCGUAAAGCGCACGCAGGCGGUUUGUUAAGCUAGAUGUGAAAGCCCCCGGGCUCAACCUGGGAUGGUCAUUUAGAACUGGCAGACUAGAGUCUUGGAGAGGGGGAGUGGAAUUCCCAGGUGUAGCGGUGAAAUGCG